Molecule: ribosomal RNA, 403 nt
Filed under: uncultured bacterium
Lineage: Bacteria
Description: bacterial SSU rRNA
Rfam family: Bacterial small subunit ribosomal RNA
Source: RNAcentral
UGGGUUUGACAUGCAGGGAAAUCUCGUAGAGAUACGGGGUCCUUUUGGGCCUUGCACAGGUGGUGCAUGGCUGUCGUCAGCUCGUGUCGUGAGAUGUUGGGUUAAGUCCCGCAACGAGCGCAACCCUCGUCCUAUGUUGCCAGCGAGUAAUGUCGGGGACUCAUAGGAGACUGCCGGGGUCAACUCGGAGGAAGGUGGGGAUGACGUCAAGUCAUCAUGCCCCUUAUAUCCAGGGCUGCACACAUGCUACAAUGGCCGGUACAAAGAGCUGCGAUACCGCAAGGUGGAGCGAAUCUCAUAAAGCCGGUCUCAGUUCGGAUUGGGGUCUGCAACUCGACCCCAUGAAGUCGGAGUCGCUAGUAAUCGCAGAUCAGCAACGCUGCGGUGAAUACGUUCCCGGGCC